GGAGAAUUCCUGUAUCCCUAGCCAGUUCAAUGGAUGGACUUAAGGAGCACUUUCUUAUAGGAUUCACUCUUUAGAAGUUGCUGCAUGGCCUGCAACUUUGCACUUAAUCGGGUGCACAGUGCACCUCCUUGAGGGAAUUACCAGAUUUUACAUAUUUGGGGUAAACUCUUUUGGCAGGGUGGUCAAAAUAAGAAAAGAAAAGUUGACA
RNAcentral lists this unclassified non-coding RNA (208 nucleotides) under Hevea brasiliensis (rubber tree). Lineage: Eukaryota; Viridiplantae; Streptophyta; Magnoliopsida; Malpighiales; Euphorbiaceae. The record is from RNAcentral.